AGUGAACGCUGGCGGUAGGCCUAACACAUGCAAGUCGAACGGCAGCACAGUAAGAGCUUGCUCUUACGGGUGGCGAGUGGCGGACGGGUGAGGAAUACAUCGGAAUCUACUUUUUCGUGGGGGAUAACGUAGGGAAACUUACGCUAAUACCGCAUACGACCUACGGGUGAAAGCAGGGGAUCUUCGGAACUUGCGCGAUUGAAUGAGCCGAUGUCGGAUUAGCUAGUUGGCGGGGUAAAGGCCCACCAAGGCGACGAUCCGUAGCUGGUCUGAGAGGAUGAUAAGCCACACUGGAACUGAGACACGGUCCAGACUCCUACGGGAGGCAGCAGUGGGGAAUAUUGGACAAUGGGCGCAAGCCUGAUCCAGCCAUACCGCGUGGGGGAAGAAGGCCUUCGGGUUGUAAAGCCCUUUUGUUGGGAAAGAAAAGCAGCAGGUUAAUACCCCGCUGUUCUGACGGUACCCAAAGAAUAAGCACCGGCUAACUUCGUG
Molecule: ribosomal RNA, 492 nt
Filed under: uncultured bacterium
Lineage: Bacteria
Description: partial 16S ribosomal RNA
Rfam family: Bacterial small subunit ribosomal RNA
Source: RNAcentral